UACGGAGGGUGCAAGCGUUGUCCGGAUUUAUUGGGUUUAAAGGGUGCGUAGGCGGCCUGAUAAGUCAGCGGUGAAAGUUCGGGGCUCAACCCCGAAACUGCCGUUGAAACUGUUGGGCUUGAGUGCCGACGGGGUACAUGGAAUUUAUGGUGUAGCGGUGAAAUGCAUAGAUACCAUAAGGAACACCGAUAGCGAAGGCAUUGUACUGGUCGGCAACUGACGCUGAGGCACGAAAGCGCGGGUAGCGAACAGG
RNAcentral lists this unclassified non-coding RNA (253 nucleotides) under uncultured Cyclobacteriaceae bacterium. Its description in RNAcentral is "contains 16S-23S intergenic spacer region". It matches the Rfam family "Bacterial small subunit ribosomal RNA", at positions 524 to 776 of the family's 1533-position model. Lineage: Bacteria; Pseudomonadati; Bacteroidota; Cytophagia; Cytophagales; Cyclobacteriaceae. The record is from RNAcentral.